Non-coding RNA from Aromia moschata, 105 nucleotides. The record is from the annotation of a GenBank genome assembly. NCBI's taxonomy places the organism in Eukaryota, Metazoa, Arthropoda, Insecta, Coleoptera, Cerambycidae.
GUGGCGAUAGCUCAGUAGGUUAGAGCACCAGGUGAGCAGAUGGUGGUUACUGAUUACUCUAUUAUCUAGCUAUUAUCUGCGCAGGUUCGAAUCCCGCCUGUGACA